This 153-nucleotide ribosomal RNA is filed under the name Tacazzea apiculata. Its description in RNAcentral is "5.8S ribosomal RNA". It matches the Rfam family "5.8S ribosomal RNA". Rfam says of the family: 5.8S ribosomal RNA (5.8S rRNA) is a component of the large subunit of the eukaryotic ribosome. It is transcribed by RNA polymerase I as part of the 45S precursor that also contains 18S and 28S rRNA. Functionally, it is thought that 5.8S rRNA may be involved in ribosome translocation. Lineage: Eukaryota; Viridiplantae; Streptophyta; Magnoliopsida; Gentianales; Apocynaceae. The record is from RNAcentral. RNAcentral also lists the same sequence under 2 other names.
CUCGGCAACGGAUAUCUAGGCUCUCGCAUCGAUGAAGAACGUAGCAAACUGCGAUACUUGGUGUGAAUUGCAGAAUCCCGUGAACCAUCGAGUCUUUGAACGCAAGUUGCGCCUGAAGCCAUUAGGCUGAGGGCACGUCUGCCUGGGCGUCAC